Molecule: ribosomal RNA, 147 nt
Filed under: Burkholderia pyrrocinia
Lineage: Bacteria; Pseudomonadati; Pseudomonadota; Betaproteobacteria; Burkholderiales; Burkholderiaceae
Description: partial 23S ribosomal RNA
Rfam family: Bacterial large subunit ribosomal RNA
Source: RNAcentral
GUUAUAGGGUCAAGCGAACAAGUGCAUGUGGUGGAUGCCUUGGCGAUCACAGGCGAUGAAGGACGCGGUAGCCUGCGAAAAGCUACGGGGAGCUGGCAAACGAGCUUUGAUCCGUAGAUGUCCGAAUGGGGAAACCCACUCCUUUUG